RNA transcript from Ailuropoda melanoleuca (giant panda), 3445 nucleotides. It is a transcript of the gene named PNMA family member 8C, with no coding region annotated. The transcript is spliced from 3 exons. The record is from RefSeq and is a predicted model, not a curated record. NCBI's taxonomy places the organism in Eukaryota, Metazoa, Chordata, Mammalia, Carnivora, Ursidae.
AGUGCAGCGGCCACAUCCUUGUCUUCGCCGGACCACGGGGCACUGAGGGCAGCCUCUGGACCAGCCGCAAGAGACCAGCCACCCUGCUUUCUGGGCCCCCGUCCACGACACCCCGGUGGCAGCAGCCCCAGGGAGACCCGCCGUCCCAGAUCUGCUGAGACAGCCAGGACGGCUGAGACCUUUGGACACCAUCGCCAAGAAAGGGGAAGUGCAUCUUCAGACCCUCCUUGGUGUGGCCUUGCCCAGACUCGGGACCCACGAGCCAGCUGGCAGAGGCCACCUCCGCUUCCCUGUGCGUAAGUCCCUGGGAAUUCCCGAGAAUCCUCUUGGGGGAAGGCCGGACACUGCAGCCCUGCGGGCAGGGCCAGGGGCAUUCUCCACCAGAGGGACAAAUUGGGCCCGUGAGGCCUCUCUCCUACUUAGCCUUUGGGAAGGGAUCUUGGCAUCCUGGAUCAUUCUGUGGAUUCCCGAGGCAGCUCAGGGGCGCACCAGCGGGCAUACUGCUGCCUCCGAGAGCUGGGCAAGAUGCUCUUCGGGGUCAAGGACAUCGCUCUGUUGGAGCACGGGUGCAAGGCGCUCGAGGUGGACAGUUACAAGUCCCUCAUGAUCCUGGGGAUACCGGAAGACUGCAACCAUGAGGAAUUCGAGGAGAUCAUACGGGUCCCCCUGAAGCCUCUGGGCAAGUUCGAAGUGGCCGGGAAGGCCUUUCUGGAAGAAGAGAGAUCCAAGGCAGCCAUCAUUAGGCUGGAGGAGGACCUCAACUAUGCCGUGAUCCCCAGGGAGAUCAAGGGCAAGGGCGGCAUGUGGAGAGUGGUCUACAUGCCCCGGAAGCAGGACGUCGAGUUCCUGACCAAGCUGAACCUGUUCCUGCAGAGCGAGGGCAGGACAGUGGAGGAUGUGGCCCGGGUCCUGAGGCAGGAACUGUGCCCCACAGGGACGGGACCCAGCGAGCUGCCUGCCAGAAAGUGCCAGGUGCCCGGGCCAGGGGAGAAGCUGGGGGCCAGGGCCCCGGCGGGCACCGACGGGGCCCGACCUCUGGACUCCACAGAGAAGCAGGGCAAGGCUGGAGAUGACAAGAGAGGCAAGCGAAAGCACAAGAAAAGCCGUCGACGGCACCAUGCGUCUGACAAGAAGUUGUGAGAUAUCUACUGCACACCUACUACGUCCCAGGCACUGUUCUAGGAGCUGGGAGAAGGGAGCAAACCCAACACAGAUCCCUGCCUUCACAGCCCUCACAGAGACUGGGGAGCAUGAUGGACCUUGAAGAUAGCUCUGGCACAAACUCGUCCAGAGUGAACCACUGUGUUUUGCAGAAAUCACACCUGACGAAGUGAGUUGCCUGCUUGCCACACGUGAGGCGCUCAGUGCUCUGUGUUUGACUCUGUCCAAAGCUGUCGCUGUCCUGUACGCACUAGGUCUCCCUUGCAGGGGAUGGUCAGACGUGGGACUCCUCUGCUCCGAUGGGCCCUUCGGGUCAGGAUACGGUUCUCCCCAAAUUCAAUUCCAGAAGCUCUGACUUGGCCAGAGGGGGCACCCCUCUUGUAAAGAACAAAAGGCAAGAUUUUCAGGAAAUAGUCCGAAAAGAGGUAAAUAAUUAAGAGGUCAUCGUCAGGAGUUAUCCAUUAACAGCAUUAACUUUGAGUCCCCCGGAUGGUAAAGAACAACAAAAACGAAGAAAUGAAUCAGGUAAAACCCAAAUGUCCGUGGGUAGACCGAGCUCUUAUUCGGGGACAUCUGGUCUGCGAAUUUCCAAACUUCCAUUAGUUCAGGGAUUUGCAAAGGUUUGAGCUGAAUUUCUUUGGUUUUUAAAAAAUGCAAUUUACACACACAUUCAGAUUCUUACCUACCAAAUCGUGAUGGUGGAGACCACCAACGUAUUAAUGUGGUGGGCUUCAGUCACGUCUGUGAAUUCCAGCAUCCGACCCUGUUCUUAUAUCUGCUACACCCUGAGCCCCGCCCCCCCCAGCAGAGCCAAAAGGUGGAGAUUCUCUCUCCACCCACCCCUUCACCUUGGCAGCCAGGGUGCAGGCAAGGGACCCACCCUCAGGCAGUCAGAAAUCCCUCUUAGGUCCUCGCAUUCCCGGCGAGUGUCAAGACAGAAGGAAUUUUUAGAGUUCACGUGCUUCGACAACCUAAACACCUGAAAGACUGAGUUCUGGAAACUCCCCCUGCUGUCUCUGAAUCAUCAGCUUCCCCAUCCUCUUCUGCUGUGGGAUGCUUGGGACAAAGCUUUUCCUGCCAUCCCCACAUACAUAUUUACUCCUCUUGCAAGCCUAUCUGUGGUCAUAGCGCUCUCCUGAUCUUUUUCUCCCUUGUAAGUUUCCAGCCUGGGCAACUGCACUCACAGCGUAUCGUGUUGCUGUGUUCGCUGUUUUCUGAGAGUCUGGGCUUGACUGCGACCUCAGGCACAUGAGCUAGUGGCCUGCCAUUCUCCCACCAAGGCACAGUCAUCGUGUCAUAACACGGGACAGUGUGACACGCGUAUCGUCUUCUUGCAGUAUCGAGACUGUAUAUUUGUGCUUAUUGUGGGUUUGGGGUGUUUCCCGUACGACAUCCAUACGUGUGAUACACAACGUGAGCAUGUGUCAGUGUUCAAUGUUGCCCCUAAAACCCAACCUCCUACCCCUUCUCGAGGUUUUCCGGAAGAGUUUCCUGACGUAGAAACACAAGCAGCUGUGUCACCCAGUUACCACCCGAAGCCAGUUAUCUGUCUGGCUGACACACAGCGAAUCCUAAGUGAAAAUUCCCAGAUCAGCUGGACGUGCUGCCUGAGAGAUGCCUGCAGCUGGCCUCGAUAAACCCCCAUUUUCAAGAGCGGGUUCCGUUCAAACUCAUCCCCGUUCUUUGUGGUUGAUGCUCUAUUGUACAAAUAUGAACUUAUAAAAUAAAUGUAUUGAAAGCAAUCACAGCAUGCUCUUUGAUAACACCCCUCGGGGGAUGGCACCCAGCCUGUGUCCUCACACGAACAGGGCACAGGAUGGAGAGCAUGUCCAAGGAUUCAGAGCUGCGCAGACAGACCUGGGUGCCAGUCUUGACUCUGCCACCAACUGGUUGUGUGCCUCUGGGGAGGUGACUUCACCUUUCUGGGCCUCAGUUUCCUUAUUUGUAAAGCGGUGCUAAUACAACCCAUGCCACAGUUUCUUUGCAGCAGGGAGAGUGUAUACCAUGCAUUAAAAACGUAGGUUCUGGAAGGGUACCUGGGUGGCUCCGUCUAAACGUUUGCCUUUGGCUCAGGUCAUCUCUCUCUCUCUCUCUCUUCCCUCAAAUAAAUAAAUAAAAUCUUAAAAAAAUAAACAGAGGCUCUGGAGUAUUCACGACAGCAUUAUUCAUAAGUAUCCAGGACUGGAACAACCUGGAUCCCUACUGACAGGUGAACAGAUAAACAAAUUGUGGUAGAUUGACACCAUACAUUGUUGCACGGCAACAAAAAGAAUGACCUACAGUU